This 253-nucleotide ribosomal RNA is filed under the name uncultured bacterium. RNAcentral describes it as "partial 16S ribosomal RNA". It matches the Rfam family "Bacterial small subunit ribosomal RNA", at positions 524 to 776 of the family's 1533-position model. The record is from RNAcentral.
UACGGGGGGGGCAAGCGUUGUUCGGAAUUACUGGGCGUAAAGGGUUCGUAGGUGGCUUGCUAAGUCAGACGUGAAAUCCCUCAGCUUAACUGGGGAACUGCGUCUGAUACUGGCGAGCUUGAGUGCAGGAGAGGAACGCAGAAUUCCAGGUGUAGCGGUGAAAUGCGUAGAUAUCUGGAGGAAUACCGGUGGCGAAGGCGGCGUUCUGGACUGCAACUGACACUGAGAAGCGAAAGCAUGGGGAGCGAACAGG